Molecule: non-coding RNA, 6720 nt
Organism: Sturnus vulgaris (Common starling)
Lineage: Eukaryota; Metazoa; Chordata; Aves; Passeriformes; Sturnidae
Source: RefSeq, a predicted model, not a curated record
AUUGUGGAGGACUCCACAGUAAAUCCUUACUUUGCAGUUGACUGUUACAGUCAUCUUGGGGGUUAAUUUUUUGUUCUGUGCAAUUGGUGUUUUGAGACUGAUUUUCUUGAAAGCUGUAGUUUUGAGAUCCAGCCACAGGUUUUGUUGUUGCUGCUGUUAUAACAGCAAGAAAUCUAACUGACAAAGCAAGAGAACUACACUGUCAAUCUGUAUAAUGCAAUAAUGGGAUUAUGUUAUUAAUUUAAUAGUAAAGGUAAGUUUCCUUCUGUGUGGAGUUUAAGCAUCACAUAAACAACAUUCCUUCCCUAGUAAUAGCCCUUCUUUGUACUUGGGCUCCUUCCUUGAAUCUUUAUGGCAGAUGGGUUUGCAGUCCUUUUUUAUGGGAAAUAGCCUUAUUUAGGCUUGGAGUGUGGGAGGAACCAGUGAUCCCCACAUAAUAGAUUUAAAAUAGUGGGGCAUGUGUAGUUUCCACCACUUUAGCAUGAAGUAUUAUUCCCAUUUUACUGGAGGGAAGCUAAUCUGAAGACCUGUAUUUGCUGUGUUAUCUUGAGCAGGGAAGGAACUGGAAACAGGAUACAGGUCUCUUUUGCUGGAAUGCUAUGCUCUCCUCUUUACAUCAGCAUACCUUGGAGAGGCUGGGCUUUGCUACAUCUUAAAAUCCUGCUAUGUUAUUUAUGUCAGGAGCUAUUAUCCUCUAAAAUGUGUUCAUUCCUUCCCUACAUUCCACUUCUCAUGAAAAGUGGCAAAAUUUUGGGUAAGGCAAUUGUUGAUGUUAGCCCUCAUAAGCUGCUGGGCAUCUCUACUUUUCUUUUUCUUCAUGCAAAAUGUCUCCAGUGAUUUCAGUCCUUAAAAUACAGAAUUUCAACUUCUCCCAGGCAAGUCAAUAGGUAAGCUGAACAAGGGGUGUCCCCAGUAGUCACAAUCAACCCCAGUAUCAAGGUAAUGGUGAACUCUGGGUUGACCUUGAAUUUAUAAGUAUGCUGAAGCGGAGCUUUAGCUGUUGGCUUUGUUAUGCUGUCCAUUUGACUUGUAUUUUGCCUGAUUCUUGUUAAGUCUGAAACCGACUGAAUUUCAAGAGUGCUCUUAGUUGAAGAGAUAAACAUUUGUGCUGAGUAAAGAUGUUACGUUGCCUCUAGGGUGCUGGUCUUUAAAAUAAAUGGAAUUUUGUUUUGUUUUUUCAUGAUUAGAAAGCUAGUAAGACUGAUUAUGGUUCAGAUCAGCUGCAACCUCAAGCCAGUGCUUCUGGUGGUAGUGGUGGCACUUUUGGUGGCCCACACUCCACCACAUUGCCUGUGGUGGUGCAUCUGUUUGUGAGGCUACAUGGUAGAUAGAACUGGGAGCUUUUGUGGUUUAAAUAUAACCAGGUCACCAUUUCUUCCUCCAGUUACCACCACAAAAGACAUGAAGGAUUAUGUUUACCCAGAUCUCUUCCCCAUCUGGUUCACAGCAGUGUCUCAAAAGUUACAGUGGCACGAACAAGCAGUGACUGGUUGAGGAGGGACUUGCUUUAACCACCCCUGCUUCCAACUGUGCCUUCAAUUUUCUCUGCAUGCAGUGUAGUUCCUUUAAAACUUCUCCCCAGUUCCUAAAAUAGUAUAAAGAUUUCAAAUUCCAUUUGUUUGGGAGCUGAGCUAAUUUUGAUUAUCAGUCAUAGUCUUACCGUGGUGAUUGUUUGCAACUGAAUGCUUCUGUUUAGGAACAAGAGCCUAGAAAACUUCUGUUAGGUUUGAUUUCUUCCUUUGUUAUUUACAUCUAUGCCAGGUUGUAGGUGGGUUUGUUUACAGCUUGUGUGUCCACAUUGUGCUUGGGGAUUCUCAUGUCCAUUGAAAUUAAAUAGGAAUGGUUUCCCUAUGUAUCCCUCAUGACCUUUCUCUCCAGAUUUCAUUUGUGGAACGUGAUUACUUUUGUGUUCAGAAAUCAUCUGAUGUUACUCAGAUUUCUAAGCAUGCAAUUGCAGUGAUAAUGGAUUAUCUUUUUCCUGAGAUUCCCUGUUUCAUGUGUAUGCACUUAUGUGAAUGCUGACCACCUGUAAAAAGCUGCCUUUGCUUUUGCAGUAGUUGGCUUUGUCUUUAACUAACAAUAUUUUAUCUCCAGUAUUCCCUAGUCCUGUAGGACAUGUAGGAACCUGUAGGAAAUGCUACAAAUAAUUCAUUAUACAAAGCUUUCUGUGCACGCUAAGGAAGGUAAGUGGUUUUAGACAUUGAAAAGCCAGUAGUGUUUUAGUAGCAAGUUAUCAAAGAGAAUUUGGUCUUUUCUGCCUGUCUGUGGAACAAAGAAUGAGGAUGCAUACUUUAGCUCUCAGAAUUCACAAAUUACCCACAUCUCGCUUGACAGAUUUUGAGGUUUCAUCACUGUUUUGAUGCAAUAAUGCCUCUGAAUACAGCAUUUAAAGUGGUGUGUCAGAAGUAUUGAUUCUGUACCCACUACUGGUGGGUAGAAAAUGAAAAUGCCCAAUCUGAGUUUGUCAUUCAUAGCUAAAAAUGCAAUACUGAAGAAAUGGAAACAAACAUCAGUCUAUGCAGUGAACACCAACUUGCUAAAGAUUGUAAAACUGUUUUCUACUGUAGUUACCCAAGGCAUUGCCCCUUUCUGUGAUGUUACAGACUUUUUACUUGGUUGUUUGAAAUGCUUACAGUACCUUUUAAAAAUAUGCUUUCCUGUGUGACUUACAUACUGCAGGUUUUGGAUAUAGGUUGCUUCAGUUCCUCAUAAGUUAGUAAGCUAUUAGAAAAUGAUUGAACAGUUUCACAACAAAGUAUUAUAUUGGUUUAGGUUAUGUGUGCCUACUGAGAUAUGCUUUUAAAAAAAAAAAGUAUUCUUAUAGAAAUUCGGUUUUGGACAUUAUUUACAGACACUUAUGCAUGUCUGAUUCAUGGGUGGCUCAUAAUCAAAGUUUGACCUUAGGAAGUUAUGAGUACUUUCAAGCUGGAAUAACAGGAAACAGUAGGUAUAAAAUUAGUUGGAUUCGAAGACUUCUUACACGUUUUGACAUGUCUAGCUUGCAUUAAGUACAAGACAUAGAAUUGUUUGUUAGACUUCAAGUGAUUUACACUGGAAGAAAUUUGCCAAAAUCUGUCCUGAACUAUCUGGCCAUAUCUCUCUUCAGUUCCUUUUGUAUAAACUGUUUCAAAGAAAUUUUUCCUCUAAUAUAACCAAUACUGAAAUAUAUUUAGAGAGCAUUCUAAGGCUAUUGUUCCAACGAAGUGCACCAUUAUUAUACAAGAUCUUAACCACUUUGGUGAGAAUUUUGUAGUUUUAAGAUGUAUGUUUAUAGCUCCCGUGUUUUAUUUCAGACAUAAUGAGUGAGAGCAGUGUCCAGCAGCACUAUGUGUGCUCCCACAGAUGCACAGAGGCAGUAGUCUUGGUGAAUCAAGUUGGCUCCUCCAGAGCACUUUGGAUGGUUGCCCAUGGGACACUCACAGAUGUUUUAUAAAUCCACACAAAAGCCAUGAACAGAGGAGAAUAAUUAGGUUUCUUGCCACCUGCUUUUUCUAUUCUGUUUCUCAGCUAGUUUAGGUUUUAAAAUCUCUAUUCAGAAUAUGAGACACUGAAAGGUAGAUGGGGAAAUGUCCCCAAGGGUGCUUUAGAUAAUAGCAUGUCUGGCAGGGAUCUGUAGGAUCCAUCCAACAGGUUGUCUUGUAUCUGGACUUCUUUAAGGCCUUUGACAUGGUACCCCCCCCAACAUCCUUCUCUAAAUUGGAGAGAUGAAUGUGAUGGCUGGACUGUCUGGUGGAUGAGGAAUUGGUUUAAUGGUCACAUCCAGAGGGUCAAUAGCUCAAUGUCCAAAUGGAAACUAGUCAUGGGUGGUGCCCCUCAGGGCACCCUGAGUGUUGGAACCACUGCUGUUUAAUGUCUUCAUCAAUGACAUAGGCAGAGGAAUUGAGUGCACCCUCAGUGCACUUACAGAUGACAAAAAUUUUUGUUCCAGUUGCUCAAAGUUAAGUAUGUAAAUCUUGUUAACCUUAACAGAAGAAUGGUUGCAGGUCUAUUGAGGUGUUUGUCUCUGGAUUUUUGAGGUGUUUAACCCUGUUCUGGGGGUGGUUAAAUGGAGAUGAAUGUGGGCCCAAGCUAAAUAGACUGUUGAUGUGGAUUGUGCAGCAGCUUGAAAACAGCUGCAUCUCAUUCUGGAAAAUGUAGGUUGUGAUGGACAGUCAUGUCCAAGCAGCUGAAUUUACAAGCAUUCUUAGUCCUUUCAUCAUUCCUCCCUGCAGCCACAGGUUUAAGUGGUGGUAGAAGGAAGAAUGCUUCCUAUGUGCAACAGUGGUUGCUGUUCGCAACGUGGGAAAGAGAAUGGUGUGAGUUCUGGGAGAGAGAGGGGUACUGAGUUCCUCUUGUCAAACAGGUGCCCAGACCCUGUUGCAGAGAGGCAUCAUCCUGGGUAGGCAUUCUGUGGGUCCCCAUGUGGAAAUUCCACAUUCAGGCUGCGUGUCAUUGUGGCUGGCAAAUGACGUGUCACAGGUUCAGACUGGAAGUAAGCAAGACUUUGACCAUGAGGGUUAGUAAUUGCUGGAAUAUAUUUCCAGAGGUAUAGGUGUGUUUUCUCAUAUGCUCCAUUUUUGUAUGGAAGUUGAUUCAAGUAAGGCUGGUUUAUGUGGUCUUUAAGCCUUGCAUUUUAGAACCAGGGCAUUUUACAGUCCUUGGUCUGUCUGAGACACUUUGAGGUGCUUGGUGUAGUGACUGUUGUGAGCAUUGCAGACACCUGUCCAUCAGUCAGGAAAUGGACUGAAACCAGCAGCUUCUUUCUCAUAGUCCACCACACAUUUGUCAGUUACCAGUAAUUUUGCUGCUGCUCUUGACCUGCACCAGAGGUUUGAUCUAGUAAAUGUAUGAAUCCCAUUACCAGUCGCCUGUGGUUGUGGAAUCCUUUGGCAUUAAUUUAUUUGUAGCAUUAUCAUUGUCAGAUUGACUCCUGCUCUGUCACAGGAAGCUCUGUAUGCUGCACUCAUCUGGUAGACAUCAUAAUGAUCACAGUCAUGUAGAUCUUAAAUCAACAAGAAUUUAUAAGGGCAUGCCUGUACUGUCCCCUGCCACAGAAGCUCUCUGUUGUUCACUCUGUUAAUGAGGAACUGCAUGAAGAGUAGCUUUUUGCAUGUGUGCUGCCUCUGUAUGCAUGUUAGUUUUCUUUCUUUGUUUUCUGUGGCUACAGAAUAUUUGUUUGGUUUUUAUGUUCAGUACGUUGAUUUUCCUUCCCUCAUUCUGCAGAGUUAACCAGAGCACCAUAAGAGGACAGUUAUCUGUUUUUACUUUGUAGUCUGAUGCCAUUAACAAUAUCGUCUUAAUCUGGUGCAUACUGUCUCCAGAGCAGUGGUUUUCCCCUCUUUUUUCCUGAAUCUGACUACCUAAAUAAGUGCUGAUAUGGUAGGUGGGUGGAGGGAUGGGGGAGGCAGAAAGAGCUGGUUGCUGACUGAAUUACUGUGUACAGUUUUGAGCACCACAAUAUGAAAAAGACAUUGAGCUAUUGGAGACUGUCCAAAGAAGGGCUGUGAGGAUGGUGAAGGGCCUUGAGGGAAAGCCUUAUGAGGAAUAGCUGAAGUCACUUGUUCUGUUCAGCCUGGAGGAGACUCAGGGAAGACCUCACUGUGGUCUUCUGCAUCCUCACGAGGGGAAGUGGAGGUGCAGGUACUGAUCUCUUCACUCUUAUGACCAGUGGCAGGAUUUGAGGAAACAGCAUGAAGUUGAAUCAAGGGAGGUUUAGGCUGCAUAUCAAGAAAAUAUUCUUCACUGAGAGGGUGGUUGGGCACUGGAACAGGAUCCCCAGGGAAGUGGGCACUGCUGUCAGAGUUCAAGAAGUGUUUGGACAACACUCUUAGGGCACAUGGUGUAACUCUUAGGUUGUCCUGUGCAGGGCUGGGAGUUGGAGUGAGUGAUCCUCAUAGGUCCCUUCCAACUUGGCACAAUCUAUGAUUCUAUAAUCUUUUUUGUCCAGUCUAUCAGCUUAUGCAACCAGCACAAUUUAAAUGAACUGUGUCAUUGGAAAUAAAGAACUUCUCAGCCAGGUUGUCUUAUAAAGAAUUGUAGAUACUUUUUUUCCUUUCAAAUCCUAAAAUUUAUAUCCAAGUAGAAAUAGAUUUUCAAAGAUUCAGUAUCUAAGAAGCUGAACUGGAAGUGAACAACAGAGUUAAAAAGCUCCGUGAUGAUCUUUUAGAAAAAUCUUUCAUAUUCCCUGAGUAAAUACAUUAAUAGAAUAUGGGCAAUGAGAAGAUGCUGUAACUGGAGCAGAACCAGUAAGUGUGAGGAAUAGUAGAAAAAUAGAAAAAUAAGGAUGUCGUGGAGAAGAUGUGUAACUUCUUUGCACCAGAUUUAUCACUGCUGAAUGCUGUGAUAUACCCGUUUUACGAGGUAUUAAGGAUGAGAAGCUUGCAGCUGGGGAAAUCACAAGAGGAAGUGCUGAAUCAAGAUUAUGAAUUAAAAAUAAAGUGUACAACUGGCUGGUAAACCAGACAUUUGGAAGAAAGUGAAGAGCUAAAUGACUGAACAGCUAUCAAAAACUGAGAAAUGUUUAUAAGAUCAAAUGGUCAUAGCCUGAAGACCUAUAUAGUAUAGAUAAUGGAUUCAUACCAGCUUGCAUUAAGAUCUGGAAUCUUGCUUCAUAUUUUUCAAGCUUGGCUGUAUGUUGAAAGUUUUAAGGCAGUUUUAGCUGAGCUUGAUUAUCUUGCAUGUUUAUCCAUGAUCUUUAGACUACACGUGUGCUUUUUUAGAAACGGAAAUCAAAGUCAGCUA